Molecule: transfer RNA, 60 nt
Filed under: Tegyrius keralaensis
Lineage: Eukaryota; Metazoa; Arthropoda; Insecta; Coleoptera; Chrysomelidae
Description: tRNA-Ser
Source: RNAcentral
GAAAUUUUAUAAUUUAAGCUUCUAACUUAAAAAAGAGCAAUUAAUUUUGUUCAAAUUUCU